GACAGAGGGGGCAAGCGUUGCUCGGAAUUACUGGGCGUAAAGGGCGCGUAGGCGGGAUGGCAAGUCGGUCGUGAAAUCCCUCGGCUCAACCGAGGAACGUCGAUCGAUACUGCUGUUCUUGAGGAUUGCAGAGGAGACUGGAAUUCCCGGUGUAGCGGUGAAAUGUGUAGAGAUCGGGAGGAACACCGGUGGCGAGGGCGGGUCUCUGGGCAAUUCCUGACGCUGAGGCGCGAAAGCGUGGGGAGCAAACGGG
Molecule: ribosomal RNA, 253 nt
Filed under: uncultured bacterium
Lineage: Bacteria
Description: partial 16S ribosomal RNA
Rfam family: Bacterial small subunit ribosomal RNA
Source: RNAcentral